CCUACGGGUGGCAGCAGUGGGGAAUAUUGGACAAUGGGCGAAAGCCUGAUCCAGCCAUGCCGCGUGUGUGAAGAAGGCCUUCGGGUUGUAAAGCACUUUCAGUGGGGAAGAAAGCCUUGGGGCUAAUACCCUCGAGGAAGGACAUCACCCACAGAAGAAGCACCGGCUAACUCCGUGCCAGCAGCCGCGGUAAUACGGAGGGUGCGAGCGUUAAUCGGAAUUACUGGGCGUAAAGCGCGCGUAGGCGGUCUGAUAAGCCGGUUGUGAAAGCCCCGGGCUCAACCUGGGAACGGCAUCCGGAACUGUCAGGCUAGAGUGUAGUGGAGGAAGGUAGAAUUCCCGGUGUAGCGGUGAAAUGCGUAGAGAUCGGGAGGAAUACCAGUGGCGAAGGCGGCCUUCUGGACUAACACUGACGCUGAGGUGCGAAAGCGUGGGUAGCAAACAGGAUUAGAUACCCCAGUAGUC
This 465-nucleotide ribosomal RNA is filed under the name Vreelandella stevensii. RNAcentral describes it as "partial 16S ribosomal RNA". It matches the Rfam family "Bacterial small subunit ribosomal RNA", at positions 338 to 795 of the family's 1533-position model. Lineage: Bacteria; Pseudomonadati; Pseudomonadota; Gammaproteobacteria; Oceanospirillales; Halomonadaceae. The record is from RNAcentral.